RNAcentral lists this ribosomal RNA (403 nucleotides) under Fusobacteriota bacterium. RNAcentral describes it as "Fusobacteria bacterium partial 16S ribosomal RNA". It matches the Rfam family "Bacterial small subunit ribosomal RNA", at positions 355 to 776 of the family's 1533-position model. Lineage: Bacteria; Fusobacteriati; Fusobacteriota. The record is from RNAcentral.
UGGGGAAUCUUGCACAAUGGGGGAAACCCUGAUGCAGCGACGCCGCGUGAGCGAUGAAGGUUUUCGAAUCGUAAAGCUCUGUCCUAUGGGAAGAUAAUGACGGUACCAUGGGAGGAAGCCCCGGCUAACUACGUGCCAGCAGCCGCGGUAAUACGUAGGGGGCGAGCGUUGUCCGGAAUUACUGGGGGUAAAGGGUUCGCAGGCGGCAUGGCAAGUCCGAUGUAAAAGGCGAAGGCUCAACCUUCGUAAGCAUCGGAAACUGUCAAGCUUGAGUGAAGGAGAGGCAAGUGGAAUUCCUUGUGUAGCGGUGGAAUGCGUAGAUAAUAGGAGGAAUACCGGUGGCGAAGGCGACUUGCUGGACUUCAACAGACGAAGAGGAACGAAAGCGUGGGUAGCAAACAGG